CCUGGGGCUAGGCCCACUUGGCCCUUGGUGGCCAGUGAAUGUUCACAAUGCAGAUCUUGUCUCCUGUGGUUCUGGUUUGUCCUGGGAGUGACACACCUCAAAGCCUGAGCACGCCAAACUCCCCAGCACCCGAGUGCUCUUGAGGUUCUGCAGAGGCCUAGGCCGUUGCUGUUGCACCUGUGGAUGCUCGCACACCUCACAGGUCGCAGGAACUGCUGCAGAUGGGCAAGCAGAAGGCCAGAUGAGCACGUGCUGUUGGCACUGAAUAGCAGAGUUUCCAAAGAUCUUUGAACAAAGUCUA
This 301-nucleotide long non-coding RNA is filed under the name Homo sapiens (human). RNAcentral's name for it is "HSALNT0065682". The record is from RNAcentral. Lineage: Eukaryota; Metazoa; Chordata; Mammalia; Primates; Hominidae.